GAUUAACGCUGGCGGCGUGCAUAACACAUGCAAGUCGAACGAUGAAACUUAGUCGACUUCUUCGGAAAGACACUAAGCGGAUUAGUGGCGAACGGGUGAGUAACGCGUGAGUAACCUGCCUUACACAAGGGGAUAGCCUUUGGAAACGAAGAAUAAUACCCUAUCAAACCAUAAAAGCACAUGCUAGAAUGGUCAAAGUGAUAGCGGUGUAAGAUGGACUUGCGUCUGAUUAGCUAGUUGGUGAGAUAAAAGCUCACCAAGGCAACGAUCAGUAGCCGGCUUGAGAGAGUGUACGGCCACAUUGGGACUGAGACACGGCCCAGACUCCUACGGGAGGCAGCAGUGGGGAAUUUUGCACAAUGGGGGAAACCCUGAUGCAGCGACGCCGCGUGAUUUAGAAGGCCUUCGGGUUGUAAAAAUCUUUUGUAUAGGAAGAAAAUGACAGUACUAUACGAAUAAGGGCCGGCUAAUUACGUG
Molecule: ribosomal RNA, 477 nt
Filed under: uncultured bacterium
Lineage: Bacteria
Description: partial 16S ribosomal RNA
Rfam family: Bacterial small subunit ribosomal RNA
Source: RNAcentral